GGCAAGCGGGUUCUAAUGUUUUUACUCUGGUGGAUUCAGAGGAAGAGGAAUACUUCGGAGAUGAGGGUUCAUCCAGAAUAACUUCAGUUGUUAAUCAUCAAACUGCCCAGUCAAUAAAUGGUCAUGCUUUUGUUGAAGAUAACUCACAAAAAAUUUGUAAUGACCGACUUCCAAAUGAAGAAAGAAAUGAGAGUGAUGUUUAAAGGACCAGAGGAAAUCUGAUUGCUUCUGUGCAAUAUUUUCUGCCUAAGUGUGUGGAGAAGACUGCUAUAUUGGGGAUUUCCAGUGAGCUCUGAGCCAAUGUACUGUUUGGAAAUGAUUAACCUAAUGUUAUUUGAAAAGUAUAGUCUUUUUCUAGAUACACUGAAACAAAUGAAAACAAACAUUAGGAAUUGCUUUUAAAUGCAGGAAUUUAGACUGCCAGAAAAAUCAUUGCAGUUUAUGCUCAGGAUUUAAGUAUGAAAGGUAGGUUUAGUGUGUUUGCUGUAUCUGUAUGGUAUCUAACCUGUUAGCUUGCAACUAAUUUAGUUUAAAAGUGCUCUGUCUGUCGCUUUUUAUAAAAUAGUGCCUGCCUUGCAUUCCCUCUCAGUGUUUAUUUGCAAGCCUUACAAAAUAUUUUUGAACAAUUUUAAAGCAGAACCUUUUUGUGAAAUUAUACAGUGUAAUUAAGUGUUAAAAUGAUAUUGUGCAUCUUGGUUUUGUUCAGUGAUUGACUUAUUUAUGCAAAUAGGAAUCCAUUUUAUAUUAAUACACAAGGACAAAUAUUACAUGUUUAUUUUAAAUGAUUUUACUAUUUGUGUAGCUUAGCUUUUUUAUAAACAAAACCUGUAUUGUGUUCUA
Pristis pectinata (smalltooth sawfish) is the source of this 840-nucleotide long non-coding RNA. RefSeq lists it as uncharacterized. The transcript is spliced from 3 exons. The record is from RefSeq and is a predicted model, not a curated record. NCBI's taxonomy places the organism in Eukaryota, Metazoa, Chordata, Chondrichthyes, Rhinopristiformes, Pristidae.